Molecule: ribosomal RNA, 461 nt
Filed under: uncultured bacterium
Lineage: Bacteria
Description: partial 16S ribosomal RNA
Rfam family: Bacterial small subunit ribosomal RNA
Source: RNAcentral
CCUACGGGCGGCAGCAGUGAGGAAUAUUGGUCAAUGGCCGGAAGGCUGAACCAGCCAUGCCGCGUGAAGGUCAGUGCCCUAUGGGCGUUAAACUUCUUUUGUGCGGGAGCAAUAAUGGUCACGUGUGGCCAGACGAGAGUACCGUCCGAAUAAGCAUCGGCUAACUCCGGGCCAGCAGCCGCGGUAAUACGGGGGAUGCAAGCGUUAUCCGGAUUUAUUGGGUUGAAAGGUUGCGUAGGCUGUGAGGUAAGUCAGAGGUGAAAUGCCCCCGCUCAACGGGGUGAAGUGCCAUUGAUACUGCCGUGCUGGAAUGCGGAUGCCGUGGGAGGAAUGUGUGGUGUAGCGGUGAAAUGCAUAGAUAUCACACAGAACACCGAUUGCGAAGGCAUCUCACGAAUCCGCGAUUGACGCUGAUGCACGAAAGCGUGGGUAUCAAACAGGAUUAGAUACCCCAGUAGUCC